RNAcentral lists this unclassified non-coding RNA (11862 nucleotides) under Diabrotica virgifera virgifera (western corn rootworm). Its description in RNAcentral is "transducin beta-like protein 2". Lineage: Eukaryota; Metazoa; Arthropoda; Insecta; Coleoptera; Chrysomelidae. The record is from RNAcentral.
AGAGCUAUACGUGUCCCUGACGUGUACCUAUGUUUAUGUAGUUAGUAAUCCGCAGGUCUGUUAAUAGAAAGUUCAUUCAAAACAUGAAUAAAGUCAGUCAUUUCAAGAAAAAUUCAAGUUUGGCGCCUUUCUCCCAUGUAAAUGUUGCCGCCAGUCUCGAUCAGUUGUCAGUAAGUUGGAAAGUACAGCUGAGAGAAGUGUUUUGCGGACCUCGUGGUAGUGUGACUCAUUGUAAAACGUUGAACUCUAUUUUUGUCGAAAUUUUGUAAAAAUGGAAAGUGUUAUUUCUGAUUUUCUAACAAGCACGGUGUUUGUUUUUUCGCUACUUAUUGGUGCAAGUGGUUUACUUAUACUGUACUUUAUCAAAACGUUUAAACAGGAGGCAGUUAUCGAGAAAACCAAAAACGAAAAAUCAACCGUCUAUUCCGAAAAGAAAAAAGAUUUGCCGCAGGCCGGGAAACGUAAGAAGAAGACCGUCGAAAAUAGAUGGACUGGAAAACACGACAAACAUUCGUAUUCUAAUCCAUGGCUUUUAGUUUCGCUAAAAGGUCAUACUGGAAACAUUCUGGAUAUGGACUUCAGCAGUAAUGGCAAAUAUAUGACUUCAUGUGACGACGCUGGAGCAGUUUUUCUUUGGGAUACCAAAGAUUUCAGCUCAAAGGAUAGGAAAUCUUUACGAGUCAAUAUUGAGUUCGAUCAUGCUACUCAUGUGAAGUGGAGUCCAGAUUCCAAAGCCUUUAUUAUUAACAAAUACAAUGAAAAUGCUGUCGAAGUCUAUAAAGUCGAGAAGAAGAAAGAUGGGUUUCUUACUGCAUCCAAAGCUUUUACAUUUCCAAAGCACCAUGAGACUGACAUUGUAGGAAUGGGAAUCGCAUCCAACGGAAAAUUCAUUAUAACAUGUUCAAACAAGACUGAUUUAGUUGUAUGGGACCUAAAAGGACAGAAGAUGGCGGUGCUUGAUACUUACCUUAUGAAUAAUACAUGCGCCAAAAUAUCACCUUGCGGAAAGUUUAUUGUGGUAUCAGGAUUUAGUCCCGAAGCCAAGGUGUGGGAGGUGUUCUUUAAUAAAUCUGGCGAAUUUCAAGAAGUCAAACCGAUCAAAGAGCUUACUUUGGGGGGACACACUUCCGGUGUUUACGAUGUUGGCUUCGAUGUGGAUUCAUCGCACAUGGCCACUGUUUCAAAGGACGGAUCGUGGCAUCUUUAUGACACCAAAGUUAGCUACAAGCAGGGAGAAAAUGCUCGUUUACUUAAAUCUGGACAAUACGAAAAAUCUGGCAACUAUGCACUAAUUGCUCUAUCACCAAAUGCGGAGGUCGUAGCAAUCGCUACAGCGAAUGAUGUUGCUCUGUAUUCUACUUGGACUACUGAAUUGGACCACAAGAUUGAAAACAUCUAUGAAGGUAACAUUACUGCCAUCAUGUUCGACUCAACUGGAAAAUUCCUGCUUACUGCCGGCGACAAGCAAAUCAGAGUUUUUCACAACGUUACCGGAUACAAAUGCGGCAUCGUCACUGCCAAGGAAAAACUCAAGGAACACGUUACUUCUGCCACCAAGGAACGACUCGAAAAGUUGAUCAAGGAAAAUCAAGCAUUUUUGGAUAAUAUUGUUGAUAAAUAAUCACUUUAUAAGACUGUUGUGAAUGCAGAGUGUCUUAAAAAAUAUUAAAGUCGAUCUCAAAUUUAGUUACGAUUAUUUUAAAGUAAAAGGUUUUAUCGGAAAAUUAUUUUAAAGUACAUGCAGAUACUUAAUAUUUUACAAAAUUUUCUACUUUAAAAAUUAAAGCUAGAAUAGAAUAGUUAUGUGGUUAUAUAUACACAUUUUUAUUUCUCUUCUGAGCUUUUUCAUAUUAUAUUUAUUCAUUUAAUUUUUGACCUAUUAUAUUUUCUAUAAAUUUUCAUUCAAAUGCCUGUUUCGUUUUUUUUUCUCGUCCAAAUUGUCCAAAAUAUUCAUCUGUCCAAACUAUCAAAUGGCCUUUUGUAAUAAUAGCAUAAAUAUAAUUUUCUCUCGGUCUCCAGUUGCUAUCUGAAUUCUUUGUUUAUUCUUCUAGACCUUUUUAUUUCCAUAUGCACAUUCCGUAAUUAUGCAGCAUGUUUAUGUUUCAUUUUAUAAUCGUAUGCAGGAUUUUUAUCUUUCAUGUUGUAUAUGUGUAUUUCUUGCUGAAUUUCAUGUACAUUCUCUUAUUUUUCCAUUCUCUUAUAUUCUUCUUUUUUACUCUUUUAUCCGCUUCAUGACUACAUCCUGUCUGCAAUCCUUCCUUCUUUUUUCGUGACCGAGCCAUUCUAGUCUACGUUUUUUAGCUACUCUUGAUACAUGAGGGUUGUGGUAUAGUUAGUACACUUCCUCAUUAGUUCGUCUUCUCCGUUCACUCUUCACUUACCAUUUUACCAAGCAUCCUUACUUCCCAUUAUUAUUGAACUGUUUUAUUCAUAAUCCAUGUUCCGGCAUCUUAUAACAGUGUUGUCCUAAUAACCGUUUUGUAUAUCCUUAUGUGUGUGUUGCAAUAUUAUUUUCCCUUAAUAAUUUUGCUCACAGCUCCAGCACAUAUAUUGCUCUUGGUCAAUCAAGUGAACUUCUAUUUAUUCCUUACAUGUCUCUUCAAUAAGUAUGCGCAACUACAUCGCACACCUAGUUCAAUAGUGCCACAAGUGCAAAACACAAUAUUCUCGAGAAAUGAGCAGAACGUUCUCUAGUAAACGCGUUAUGCCCUGUAAAUAAUUUAUUUUGAGAAUGACUGGCUUCAAAAUUACAAUUUAGGUAGCAAAUUAUACACUUAUUGGCUGGAUCUUAUUACAAUUUAUUAAAAAUAAAACGUAAUUAUUAUUUUGAUAGUUAUGGCGAUAUUGCAUUGUGAAAAAAGUCAUUUAUAAAACGAUACCUAGGAGAUACGGCGGCAAUAUAAUGAAAAAAUCAAUUGAUUUUUGCAGUUCUGGCCGUAUUGAAUUAUAUCGGUUGUAUUGUGGCAGUGUAAAUUAUCGCCACAUCUCUCUUGAUUUUUGCAGUUGUGGCCGUAUUGAACGUAUUGAAUUACAUCGGUUGUAUUGUGGCAGUGUAUAUUAUCGCCACAUCUACCAGUUAUGGCCAUAUUGCAUUUUCAAAACCUCCAAAAACCCUACAGUUGAAUACCGAAGUAACUUACUUUAUACUUAUCCAAAACAAUAUUUUAGUUCAGGCUGUAUUGCAUUAGAUGGGCCAUUAUAUAGGCAAUAUUUUACAGCCUUAACCCAAAAUUCGAAUUUUUUGCAGUUGUGGCACAACUGAACUAGGUGUGCGACAUAUAUUUUUUUACCUUUUCAAAUUAUAUGACGGCUCUCUGGUUUAAGUGGGUUUUAUUUUAAGCUAGUAUUCUUGCAUGUUUUUUCUUGUUUGGAGAACAACUAACCAUUAUCUUGCUCCGCCUGAAGGGUGACCUUCACCCUCUAUCUUUUCCCUGCUUGUCUCCUACCGCUCUGCCAUCACCGCUAUUUGUAUACAUACUAUAUCGUCCCAAGCGCUGCGGAAGGAAUCAUAUUGGCUUCAACAGCUCAAAUCUAAACUCCUAUGUCGCAAUUUUUUCGGAUUUCCGCUAAUACGAUCCGUUGGGUUGUAGAUAACUUCACUGGACAAACUCUUUCUUGAACGAUGCGCGAUUUGUAUCUGCUUGACAUUUGCGCACAUCAUUGCUACCUAUGGACGUAUAUUAACAUAAACUGAGCAUACCAGCCGCGCGUGCUGACAACAAGAUAUCUUGCGGUAGUUCUCUGUCUCUCUUUAGCGAAUUAAAACUCCUCACGGUCUCCCUCUCUCUCUUGCACCAACAAGAGAUACUUACUUAAUAUAAGACACAGACACAACGAAGGCGGCGUCACUUAGCUCUACAGACUGCUCAAUCUAUAGAAAAGUCAUAGAAAUAUAUUAAUACCAUUCACACCGGUCACCGAUUUUAGACGGUGGAAAUAAAAGUAGUUUUCUUUAUCUGCGGUUAUAUUUUUUGACAGAUUAUCAGCAUAUUUUCUGAUUUAUAGAUAUCUUUUGUGAAAAAUAAAGCUGAUUCUGACUCUUUGAGCUGAUUUAUAGAUAUCUUUUAGUUUUAUUCCAAACUUAACACACAUUGUGUGCCACGUCGCUCAUAUAUGAGAGACAGAUAUUUUGCCAGGGGCCACGUCGCUCAUUUUUGAUAUACACGUAUGAGGAACUUUCAUGGCCGUGGAUAUCAAUGGCCCCUGAGAGUACUAUCCCGAUUAAAGCGUGGCACGCAAUGUGUUAAUAUAAUAUUAAUUCUUCACCGUUGAACACGUAGUAUCGGUCUCCACCGGUUAGUGUAAUAAUUUAUCACGUUGUUUACUUACUUACUCCGUGGUGUUCCAACCCUUCGUGGGUUUUAGCCGACUCGACAACAUGCUUCCACUCUUCUCUGUUUUGAGCAACCUCUAUCCAAUUCUCCACGCCCAUAGCUUUCAGGUGUCCUGCUAUAUUAUCUCGCCACCGGAGUCGAGGGCGUCCGCGUUGUCUUCUUCCAGUUGGGACUUCCUCCCAUACCAGCCUUAGGGUACGUUCAUAAUGGAGAUCAUCGCAUCGUAUCUUUGCCUAGAGCAUAGUAUCGUACUCUUUAUGCUCUUAUUUAAAAUAAUGCAUUUAAUUUACCUGGCGAUCGAUAGUAUGGUACGAGCGAUACUAUGGAGCGAGAGUCGGCGCUUCGUUGUGAGCGCCCACUUACUGUUCUUUGGUCAGAAUGUCUUCUGAGGUGUUCUGUCCAUUGGAGUCUUCUGAACUUAAUUUCUUUUAUGAUGUUGCCCUCUGGGUAAAGUUCUUCCAGUUCUUUGUUAGUUUUUAUUGUAUAUUGUCCCGCUACUUCAUUAAACACAGAUCCAAAGAUCUUCCUUAGGAUUUUUCUUUCCUAAACACGUAGUCUCUCUUACAGGCGUGGAUUUAGAAAUUCAUCAUAGGGGGAGCCAGAUUUACCUCAAAUAUUAUAUUGUCCAGAUUUAGCCAUAAGACUCACACUUACUCUAAACUCUAAGGAUAAAAUACACUAUAUAAUCCCAGAUACCUACGGUAUCAAAAGGAUUGAUAGACAUCGAUUGAAAGACAAUAAUUCACGACUAUUAAUCUCACUGGUCGCUCUUUACCAACUGUAGGUGUAAAAGUGUACAGAUAAACCUUUCUACCAUCAAUGGGUAGGUACGCCUGGAUUAUCUAGUAAAAUUCAAAUUUUUAUAUCUUUAUUGUAUCGCAAAUUUGAAACGCGACUUUUCAUGAGACAAGGUUUAUACCCUGUGUAAUGUAUUUGCAUUUUAAAAUAUUAUUUUUGAUAUUCUUUAAACUGAGAAAAAUAUUUCAGUUGUUUAUGGUUCCAUCGGUACCCAAACAAAUGCGCCUGCAGUUUAUUUUUCAGAGGAGGGUGUUCUAUUAGAUUUUAUGGCUUCUUUCAAUUCUUUGGAAGCGGUUGUCGUAUAAUUUAGUGUUCUACUGAUGGCCUUAAGUUUAGAGUUGACAGAAAAAAUAAUAAUAAAAAAAUAUUUAUAGACUAAAAACAAUAGGGAGUCCAUGGACCCAUUGACCCCCCUGUAUCCGCGCCUGCUCUCUUCGUUUUCCUUUGUUUUCGUUCACGUUUCGCUUCCAUACAUGAGAACUGGGCCUCGAUUUUUGACCCUUCGCUUCGUUAUCGAACGUAUUCGCUUCUUAUCUGUUUAGUAUACGUAGCGAAUACAUUCGAUAACGAAGCGAAGGGUCAAAAAUCGAGGCCCUGGUCGUAUGAUUGUUUUAUAUACAUGUAUCGUUGUACAUCUUAUGAGUUGUUUCGAUUUUAUAAGGUUUUGAAGGGCAUAAAGACAUCUGUUGCCGGCUUGUAUCCUAUUGUUUAUUUUUUAUCCGUUAUUGUCUUUAGUUAUUGUUGUUCCAAUAUACUUAAAUUCUCUAACGCGCUCAAAGUUAAAGUCAUCGAUGGUGAUGUUCUGACCGAUUCUGUCUCUGUUUUGGUUAUUGCGGCUCAUAUCGUCUGCAAAUGCCAGUAGUAAGUUUGGUCCUUCUCGAUGAAAUACUGUAGUCGGUUUUUCGAUUCUUGCACUGCUGAUUAUGUGUUCCAGAGCUAAGUUAAAGAGUUGUGGUGAAAGUGUAUCUCCCUGUUUUAGUUCGUUGUUUAUUUCGAAUGUCUCCGAGUAUUUUUGUCCAACUCUCACCUUAUAUCGUAACCGUUCCAUAAACAUUCGUAUCAAACUGACUAGUUUUUUUGGCAAGCCAAGUUCCUGCAUCGUUGUCCACAGUAUAGCCCUGCAUACUCUAUCAAAUGCUUGUUUAAAAUCUAUGAACAUCUCACGAUCAAACUCUCAGCAUUUUCCAUUAUCUGUUUCAUUGUGAAAAUCUGGUCAAUAAUAGAGCGGCCUGGUCUAAAUUCGCAUUGAUAAUCCCCAACGAUUUCUUCUGUGUAUGUUUCGGUUCUUUCUAGCUGGAUGUUUGCAAGGACUUUGUAGGUGGUAUUUAGGAGUGUUAUUCCCCAGUAGUUAGUACAGUGAAUCCAUUCACCUUGUGGUUGUUUUUAUUUAUUAUUUAAAAUCUUUAAAAUAAUCGACAGUCUUUAAAGGAUUUGUUUAAUUACUACUUCAGGCUUCAACGUGACCUAAAAAGCUAUCAGUGUCUGUGUAAUUAAUAAUAUGAUGAAGAUGAGCGUAUCUAAUACUUUCCUUCUUUAUUGACAAAAUUCCUUUAACCAGCAUUAAAAGCUUUGACAUAACUAAUUACAAUUCGUAAUUUAUGAUCAAAUAAUCUGCAUAUACUUUAACAAAAAACAUUUCUUACGUUUGUAGUAAUUUUAAUUUUAUCUACCUCAUUUAACCAUGAAAAUAACAAUGCAACGUGUCUCCAGUAAGCAAGCACUUUCAAAGUGUUUACUGAUUCCGUAUAUGGUGUUUUAAUUAUUUUUGCCUAGUUAAGAUAUUUAUGUAUUAACAUUAGAGGUUAAACAAGUCAAUAAAGUAAACGAAGUCACGUCAUGAUAGUUUAGUGUGUUCCUCAUGGUAAUACGAUUCCAUAUAAAUUAAAUUGGUAUAUCUCCUAUUCUUAAACGGAGUGUGUAUUACAAAUUAAAUCAAAGAGAUAAAUUAAAAAUUGUUUGUUUAUGAGCAAUUAUUUGCUUUUGAUGGGCUACAAUUAUUUUUACACUGAUGGCAACUAUGGACAACAGUUAUUAGUCACUGAGACAUGUCUGAACCCUAUAAUUUUGUGACAAACAACUACAGUUAGUUUAUUAGUUCUUCAAUAGGUAAAUAUUUGGUAAUGGUUCAUUUUUGUAAAAAUUUUAGCGAUGGUAAUUUCAAUUUUAUUGUGUUGCAAAUAAAAAAAACUUUCUACGUUACAUAUUGUUGAAUCUAGACAGUUCUUCUUCUUUUGGCAUCAUAAUUCUGGAUGGAUCUUUGCGUGUCUUAUAUUAUUGGUUUUCAGGUCGUCUUCCACGUCAUCCAACCAUCUUUUUAUGGACCUUCCUUUUUUUCGUCUUCCUAUUGGUUUCCACUGUAAUAUUUUCUUUGUUGUUUUUGUAUCUUCAUGUCUCUGGACACGUCCCAGCGAUGACAAUCUUUGACUUUUCACAAAUCUUGCAAUAUCCGUGCCCUUUAUUUAAUUACUUCAUUAAUUUAGUAGUUUCUCCUUCUUCUCUAUGUACCAUCCUCCUCUUGCACCGGGCUGUAUACCUUUUUCAGUAUCUUUCUCUCGAAUAUCUUAAGUUGGGCUUCAUAUUUUUUUUCAUUACCUAGGUUUCACAUCCAUCUGUUACUAACAGGUCUUCUUUCUGUGGUCAGAUAUGUGAAGUCAUCCACACGUUCGAUGGUAUAGUCAGGGCCGUAACUACCAUUGGGGCAGUGCCCCGAGGCCCCCAGCCAAGGAAAGCCCCGCAGGGGCCCCCUUUUCUUUGGCCGUGCAUACAUUUUAACGAAGAACAUAAAAAUAUGUAUUUUAAAAGCCGACCCCAACGAAAUAUUUUCAACUGACACAAUUUUAAAAAGAUCUUACAGGGGCACCUUUGACCUCAACAUAAAGUUUUAAUUUUUCGCUGGGAAAAUUAGUAUUUUUGACUAAAAUGUAAUUGGAACGGACCUUAACAUGAAAAUUUAAAUUAUCACUUAGGAAAUUAGUUAUUUCCGCAAAAUAAAACCUAAAAUGUCAUUGGAAGAGGGGGCCCGGGCUAAGCUACAACAAGUCCAGGAAGGGAUGCCUCAGGGGAGUAUUUAAUCGCCCAUACCAUAUAACAUUUUUGUUUCAGAUUUUCCAACAGAUGUAAGAACAUUGUAGCCGAACAAUGUAAUUAAUAUUAUAGUAUCUUUUUUUAUGACAACAUAAAAGAUGUUAUAUUGAUGGUACUUGCAAAAUUAUUUAGUUUAAAAUAAGGUGAUUUCAAAUUUUUUUGUGUUGGUCUAAAAUAGCAAUAUGAAGGUACAAGAAAUUUCAGUCAUGAAAUGCAUUAAAAUGCGUUUUCAAGGGGUUAAAUGUCAAACAUUUUUCCGGAAUCCCCCUUCUGCUGGGGGCAAACCCCCCAAACUCUCCGGUAGAGGGCCCCCAGAUGACCAACAUCGUAGUUACGGCCCUGGGUAUAGUUGUCUAUUGCGAUAUUAUUUUUAUUCUCAGGUGUUCUUUGACGGUCAUGUAAGUACUUCGUUUUUAUUUCGCUUAUUUUAAGACCUCUUUUUCGUGCUUCAGGAUCAGUUUCCUUGAACGCUUCCAUUAUUCUUUGUUAAUUUAGACAGUUACUCUUUUUAUUUUACAUGUGUACUUUAUGUGGGCUACAGGUUUAAGUAAGUAAUCGUUCGAUCCACAAACUUCUCCUCUUUUCCUAAUGACAUUAAUUACUAUUGUUUGUGAUUGCUGUCCCGUUGUGAACCUUUCAUUCUUUGUCUCCACGUGUAUUUGUGGAUUUCUUUAUGUUUAUAAUAUCCAUCUGGUGUUUUUACUGAAUGUUUCUAACUCCUUCUAACCUCUUCUUAUAAAGUACCCAGUAAGAACCUCCUCGACCUCCAUAAGUGCUUAUUACUUUACCUAAUUUUUCAACAAUUAUUUUCCAUUAUGUCUCCAGUGGAGUCAUCAGUUGAACCCCACUUUUACCAGAUCUUAUCAUUGUAGUUUCAGUUCCACUGUGAUUAGGGAUUAUUCUUUUGUUGACGGCAGAUGAUUUUUAAUAUUUUUAAAUGUUUGUCUUUUGUUGAUUAUUUUAGAAACUUCUGGUUUUGCUCUCUUUUCUUUAUUGACUCCAAUGUAAAAAUUUACAUAGUUUCCGUUUAUUUCCUUUUCUUGUCGUUUCCAGGUUAUUUAGCGACUCGCUAUCAUGUUGAAUGUUGAUAGUUCAUUAUAGACCUCAGAAUCAUCUGAUGUCUUCUUCUUUUCCCAUCAAGUAUUUUGUCAAUGAAAUGAUCAUAUCUGUCGUAUCGGAGGUAAUUAUUUAACAGUCCCGAUAGAAGUCUGUGGACCUGAUGAUUUUCAUGGUGUUUUGUACGUUCAUAAGUAAUAUUGCGCUACUUCUAUAUGAAAAUUCAACUGAGAAAACCAACAAAUUUUCGACAUAUUACCCAUGCAAUAUCAUUUUUUGCACGAUUGAUCAUUUUUGACUGUUUACCGUGACAGAUUUUACGUCAGUAGGUGACAUUUACUAGCAACUCGACGGUAAGUAAUCCAACUCGACGGUAAGUACUCCAACUCGACGGUAAGUAAUUCACUUACCGACGAGUUAAAAAAUCUCUUAAUUUUAAUUUAUUUUUUGAAAGAAUAAAGAAAACUAACGAAUUAUUUAUUAAUAUUGAAACUUAUGGUACAAUUUGUUAAAUUAUUUUGCAGAAUUUCUAAAUAUGGAAUUUUAUCGUCUGGUUUAUUAACGACUGUAAAAGUACGCUGGAUGUUCGUUUUUGUAUUGGGUACUUUUACAAUCAUUAAACCAUCGGUUUGUUGGAUGUCAUGCAUAGUAAUAUUAUAUCAUUCUUCUCUUCUACAGGCACCAGAUAUUCCCAAUAUCAUUGCGACCUACAAAUUAUGAAAAAAUCUUCAUUAGAGUAUUUCUUUUACCUAAACUAGCUUAUAUUACCUUGUGAACUAGAAAUUCUUCAUCCGGUGCUUCCAUCAGAAAUUUUUCAAAUUGCUCCCGUGUAAAAAUGCUCGCUUUCUUAGGCCUAUAGCCAAUAUUUUUUCUCUUCAAAUACGCGAUCAAAGUUGAAAACUUGGAAAUAUCAAUGCCAUGAUAAAGAAAAACGGUGGAUUUAAUCAUUGAAUAUUCUGCCCAGAGGCUUCCAGGAGCUUUCAACUGCAUAUAUCUUUGAACGAAAUAUGCCAAUGGAGUCUUUUCUUCGAUUCUUAAAUUCUUGCCUUCGCACCAUUUUUUAAAACUUUGGUAGGUAUUAAACAUGGUCGUGUUUCGUAUUAAACAGAAUAAAUAUAAAUAAUUACUAUUCUGCCAACGUCCACUGCUGAUUUGCAAUUUCUAAAAUUUCCACUCAUAUUAUUACUGUAUUAGUGUAUAUUAAUAACAGUGCACCUGGCUUGCGCAUUAAACAAUGACUGAGUUUAUUUCUCAGGAGACACAACGAGAGUGGAACAAAAUGCACUGCAGUCAACAUAAACUAAGGAAAUCUACACGGAGAUUAGUCAAUUUAUUGCAAGUGAUCUUUGUUACCAUAUGGUUACAGUGGACACUAAUAGGUGUCUCACUUGCGCAUUAAACAAGGACUGAGUUGAUUUCUCGGGACACUCAACGAUAGUGGAACAGAAUGCUCUGCAGUCAACAUGAACUAAGGAAAUCUACACAGAGAAUAGUCAAUUUAUUGCAAGUGCUCUUUGUUACCAUAUGGUUACAGUGGACACUAAUAGGUGUCUCACUUGAGCAUUAAACAAGGACUGAGUUUAUUUCUCAGAAGACAAAACGAAAAUGGAACAAAAUGCACUGCAGUCAACAUGAACUAAGGAAAUCUACACAGAGAUUAGUCAAUUUAUUGCAAGUGAUCUUUGUUACCAUAUUAUAGUUACAGUGGACACUAAUAGGUGUCUCACUUGCGCAUUAAACAAGGACUGAGUUUAUUUCUCAGAAGACACAACGAGAAUGGAACAAAAUGCACUGCAGUCAACAUGAACUAAGGAAAUCUACACAGAGAUUAGUCAAUUUAUUGCAAGUGAUCUUUGUUACCAUAUUAUGGUUACAGUGGACACUAAUAGGUUAAAAAUUUCUCGUCGUGGCAUUUAAUUAACUCUCUCAUUUGCAACAAAAUAUUUAAUUGCUUAGACAUGACAUUAGAAAACCACUAUCAUAUUUAUUUCUAUUUGAUUUUUCUUUGUCAUAUAAAAUAUCUAGAUGCAACGGUUAUACCAUAAUAUAGGUAACUACCUAUUUUUUACUUUUCCAUUUUGUACUACUAUGUAACCGUUUUUUUAUUCGGUUAUACCAUAAUAUAGGUAACUACCUAUUUUUUACUUUUCCAUUUUGUACUACUAUGUAACCGUUUUUUUAUUCGGUUAUACCAUAAUAUAGGUAACUACCUAUUUUUUACUUUUCCAUUUUGUACUACUAUGUAACCGUUUUUUUUAUUCCUACGGGCAUUAUUAUAUAUUUUAUUUAUUUCCUGAGUGGUGUAGUGCCAUGAUACUUCAUUGCAGUGCACAGAGAUAUUGGUUCGAAUCCACAGCAAUGGAAACUUUAGGAUGUAAGUAAUUAUAUCUCGAAUGGAGCGCCUCCAAAGUCAAGACUGUCCAAAAAAUAUUACGUAAAAAAAUUAAGUCAUUAAUGAGAAAACAAAUGGUGCCGUCCUGGUAAUUUAUAAUAACUUAAGAGUUUUAUUCGGAAAAAAGUUAUUUUUUAAGGUCACUCUGUAUAUCAUUUCAUAUUUUGUAUUGAUGUUUAUAUAAAGUUAUUCAAGAUA